Molecule: ribosomal RNA, 404 nt
Filed under: uncultured Sedimentibacter sp.
Lineage: Bacteria; Bacillati; Bacillota; Tissierellia
Description: partial 16S ribosomal RNA
Rfam family: Bacterial small subunit ribosomal RNA
Source: RNAcentral
GAGUUUGAUCAUGGCUCAGGACGAACGCUGGCGGCGUGCCUAACACAUGCAAGUCGAACGAAGUAUAUUUUUCGGAAUAUACUUAGUGGCGGACGGGUGAAAAAAAAAAAAACAAUCUGCCCUAUACAAAGGAAUAGCCUCGGGAAACCGGGAUUAAAACCAUAUAACACUUUUCGGUCGCAUGAGUGAGAAGUCAAAUUGAUUAAGAGGUAUAGGAUGAGUUCGCGUCUGAUUAGCUAGUUGGUGAGGUAAUGGCUCACCGAGGCGACGAUCAGUAGCCGGCCUGAGAGGGUGAACGGCCACACUGGAACUGAGACACGGUCCAGACUCCUACGGGAGGCAGCAGUGGGGAAUAUUGCACAAUGGGCGAAAGCCUGAUGCAGCGACGCCGCGUGAGUGAAGAA